RNAcentral lists this ribosomal RNA (378 nucleotides) under uncultured bacterium. RNAcentral's name for it is "bacterial SSU rRNA". It matches the Rfam family "Bacterial small subunit ribosomal RNA", at positions 521 to 896 of the family's 1533-position model. The record is from RNAcentral.
UAAUACGGGGGGAGCAAGCGUUGUUCGGAUUUACUGGGCGUAAAGGGCGCGUAGGCGGUCAGCACAAGUCAGUUGUGAAAUCUCCGAGCUUAACUCGGAAAGGUCAACUGAUACUGUGCGACUAGAGUGCAGAAGGGGCAACUGGAAUUCUCGGUGUAGCGGUGAAAUGCGUAGAUAUCGAGAGGAACACCUGCGGCGAAGGCGGGUUGCUGGGCUGACACUGACGCUGAGGCGCGAAAGCUAGGGGAGCGAACGGGAUUAGAUACCCCGGUAGUCCUAGCCUUAAACGAUGAAUGCUUGGUGUGGCGGGUAUCGAUCCCUGCCGUGCCGAAGCUAACGCAUUAAGCAUUCCGCCUGGGGAGUACGGUCGCAAGGCUG